AUGACUAGGGAUAACCUUAGGAAGAGACACAUCAUCAAACCCCUUGAUUGUGUUUACUGCUUGGAACAAGAGUCUUGUUCUCACCUAUUUUUUGAAUGUAUAGUUGCUAAACAUCUCUGGGCCCACAUUGAGGAAUAUUUCUCUAGUCAGAUUGGCUCAUCCUUCGAAUCUGUCGCCAGAUUCUGGAUUGCUACCAAAAAGUGCUCAGUUUUAAACACUGUUAGCUCAGCUAUCCUUUGGUGCCUCUGAAAAUAUAGAAAUGCUAUGAUUUUCAGUAACACCUCCUGGAUUUCCAUUCCGCAGGUCUUGAGGUUGAUCAGGAACAUGGUGAGGAACUGGGCGAUUCUCUCCUCCGGAUCGGACAAGGACAAGUUGAUGAGCUUCAUGGAAACCCUAACAAGAUCCCUCCAGAAACCGUUGGCGAUCACUUGUGGCUGA
Molecule: ribosomal RNA, 438 nt
Filed under: Triticum aestivum (bread wheat)
Lineage: Eukaryota; Viridiplantae; Streptophyta; Magnoliopsida; Poales; Poaceae
Description: partial small subunit ribosomal RNA
Source: RNAcentral